UCAUGGAAGGCAGGGGAUGGCUCAGUCGGUAGAGCCUGAGACUCUUAAUCUCAGGCCAGGAGAUCAAUUCCCAUGUUGGUGAG
Molecule: non-coding RNA, 83 nt
Organism: Podarcis lilfordi (Lilford's wall lizard)
Lineage: Eukaryota; Metazoa; Chordata; Lepidosauria; Squamata; Lacertidae
Source: the annotation of a GenBank genome assembly